AGAUUGAACGCUGGCGGCAUGCCUUACACAUGCAAGUCGAACGGCAGCACGGGAGCAAUCCUGGUGGCGAGUGGCGAACGGGUGAGUAAUACAUCGGAACGUGCCCAAUCGUGGGGGAUAACGCAGCGAAAGCUGUGCUAAUACCGCAUAAGAUCUACGGAUGAAAGCGAGGGGAUCGCAAGACCUUGCGCGAAUGGAGCGGCCGAUGGCAGAUUAGGUAGUUGGUGAGGUAAGGCUACACAAGCCUUCGAUCUGUAGCUGGUC
Molecule: ribosomal RNA, 264 nt
Filed under: uncultured soil bacterium
Lineage: Bacteria
Description: partial 16S ribosomal RNA
Rfam family: Bacterial small subunit ribosomal RNA
Source: RNAcentral